GCCCACGUAGCUCAGUUGGCAGAGCACCAUCUUGGUAAGAUGGGGGUCACCAGUUCGAGUCUGGUCGUGGGCUCCA
RNAcentral lists this transfer RNA (76 nucleotides) under Chloroflexota bacterium. Its description in RNAcentral is "Chloroflexi bacterium (freshwater metagenome) tRNA-Thr". It matches the Rfam family "tRNA". Rfam says of the family: Transfer RNA (tRNA) molecules are approximately 80 nucleotides in length. The record is from RNAcentral. Lineage: Bacteria; Bacillati; Chloroflexota.